GUUAAAACUUCAGCACAAGAACUUGGUCACUUUGUUGGGAUGUUGUGUAGAGGGAACUGAGAAGAUGCUUGUUUAUGAAUAUCUGCCAAACAAAAGCCUUGAUUAUUUUCUUUUUGAUAAACAGAAAUCUUCAUCCCUUGAUUGGACAACACGGUUUAGAAUAGUUACAGGAGUGGCAAGGGGUCUUCUCUACCUGCACGAAGAAGCCCCUUGAAAGGAUCAUUCAUAGAGACAUCAAAGCUAGCAAUGUUUUGUUGGAUGAACAUUUGAAUCCAAAAAUUUCAGAUUUUGGCUUGGCAAGGCUCUUUCCUGGUGAAGACACGCAUUUGAAUACAUUUAGGAUUUCUGGUACUCAUGGUUACAUGGCCCCUGAAUACGCAUUGCAUGGAUAUUUGUCUGUGAAGAGUGAUGUUUUUAGCUAUGGAGUUUUGCUGUUGGAGAUUGUAAGUGGGAGAAAAAAUCACGACAGCCACUGACACCCACCUUGGUGGUGAAAAGGCAGACAUCUUGAGCUAUACAUGGAGGCUUUAUCAAGGAGGAAAGACGUUAGAUUUGGUUGACCCCAGUCUUGCUAAGUGCAAUCGUGACGAGGCAGCAAUGUGCAUUCAACUAGGAUUGUUAUGCUGUCAACAAAGUGUUUCGGAUAGGCCUGAUAUGAACUCUGUUCAUCUCAUGCUUGUGAGCGACUCAUUUACUCUGCCUAUACCUGGUAAACCUGGAAUUCAAGGCCGUCGAGGACAUUGGACAACUACUGGAACUUCUGCUUUCACCAACACUAACAAUAAUACUAAUACUAAUACCAAUUCCAAUCCUAGCAGUACAAGCACUGGCAUUGCCAGAGUUUCUGG
This 848-nucleotide unclassified non-coding RNA is filed under the name Hevea brasiliensis (rubber tree). The record is from RNAcentral. Lineage: Eukaryota; Viridiplantae; Streptophyta; Magnoliopsida; Malpighiales; Euphorbiaceae.